Molecule: ribosomal RNA, 609 nt
Filed under: Penicillium biourgeianum
Lineage: Eukaryota; Fungi; Ascomycota; Eurotiomycetes; Eurotiales; Aspergillaceae
Description: eukaryotic LSU rRNA
Rfam family: Eukaryotic large subunit ribosomal RNA
Source: RNAcentral
UGACCUCGGAUCAGGUAGGGAUACCCGCUGAACUUAAGCAUAUCAAUAAGCGGAGGAAAAGAAACCAACAGGGAUUACCUCAGUAACGGCGAGUGAAGCGGUAAGAGCUCAAAUUUGAAAGCUGGCUCCUUCGGGGUCCGCAUUGUAAUUUGCAGAGGAUGCUUCGGGAGCGGUCCCCAUCUAAGUGCCCUGGAACGGGACGUCAUAGAGGGUGAGAAUCCCGUAUGGGAUGGGGUGUCCGCGCCCGUGUGAAGCUCCUUCGACGAGUCGAGUUGUUUGGGAAUGCAGCUCUAAAUGGGUGGUAAAUUUCAUCUAAAGCUAAAUAUUGGCCGGAGACCGAUAGCGCACAAGUAGAGUGAUCGAAAGAUGAAAAGCACUUUGAAAAGAGAGUUAAAAAGCACGUGAAAUUGUUGAAAGGGAAGCGCUUGCGACCAGACUCGCUCGCGGGGUUCAGCCGGCAUUCGUGCCGGUGUACUUCCCCGCGAGCGGGCCAACGUCGGUUUGGGCGGUCAGUCAAAGGCCCCUGGAAGGUAACGCCCCCUCGGGGGCGUCUUAUAGCCAGGGGUGCAAUGUGGCCUGCCUGGACCGAGGAACGCGCUUCGGCUCGGA